This 83-nucleotide transfer RNA is filed under the name Chloroflexota bacterium. RNAcentral describes it as "Chloroflexi bacterium (groundwater metagenome) tRNA-Leu". It matches the Rfam family "tRNA". Rfam says of the family: Transfer RNA (tRNA) molecules are approximately 80 nucleotides in length. Lineage: Bacteria; Bacillati; Chloroflexota. The record is from RNAcentral.
GGGGACGUGUCGGAAUUGGCAGACGAGCAUGACUUAGGAUCAUGUGGGCUAAACCCGUGGGAGUUCAAGUCUCCCCGUCCCCA